CUCUCCUAUGGAGUUGAAGAUUCUGAUCCCUUUGGAAACCUUUGUGGCACACUUCGCAUAUGUAGCGGUUUGUCGCCAAGAGUGUAUGUGGCGAGAGAGCUAUUACUUCCGCAUCAGGGUCUACAUAUCGGAGGUGAUCUAUAAACAUGGCAUGGAUAAAGUGGACUGGUCAGAACAAGAAAAGGAAUAAUCAAGUGCUAAAUUUAUAAAGCUCAGCAAAACAUCAAUACUGCCAGAUGCUUCGCCUCUUCUUCGUUCCCGUUGGCGCGCUCUCACCUUUACUUGAAGAUGGCACAAUUGGUUUCUGCUGCAAAUUGUUGUGGGAUUCUUCCUCGGAGGAGUUGGACAUUCUUUCGGAACUCGAGUUUUCCUCAAGUUGGAAGAAGGGGAACUGAUGAUAUAUACAAGGCAAAGGAUCAAAAAGCGACAAGCAGAAAAAGGACCAUUGAACUGACCAAAUUGCCGUAGAGAGAUCUCCAACGUAAUCUUAUCUUAUGGUAAUCUACUUCUACUCCCCAAAAUCUUGAUUACACAAAUCCUCAAGUUAAUCUAAUCUAAUCCCAACUAUUGCAUAAUAUUCAGAUUCAGAUGGAUUUUUAAUUCCGUAUUUCAUGUUUUCUUUUUUCAAAAAAAAAAAACUUUAAUAUGUGAUAUUGAAUGCAUGGUCAAAUGGUUA
Molecule: long non-coding RNA, 676 nt
Organism: Ananas comosus (pineapple)
Lineage: Eukaryota; Viridiplantae; Streptophyta; Magnoliopsida; Poales; Bromeliaceae
Exons: 4
Source: RefSeq, a predicted model, not a curated record